CUAGUAAUCGCGCAUCAGCCAUGGCGCGGUGAAUACGUUCCCGGGCCUUGUACACACCGCCCGUCACACCAUGAGAGUUGGGAAUACCCGAAGCCUGUGAGCUAACUAAUAGAGGCAGCAGUCGAAGGUAGAAUCAAUGAUUGGGGUGAAGUCGUAACAAGGUAUC
This 166-nucleotide ribosomal RNA is filed under the name uncultured bacterium. RNAcentral describes it as "partial 16S ribosomal RNA". It matches the Rfam family "Bacterial small subunit ribosomal RNA", at positions 1335 to 1500 of the family's 1533-position model. The record is from RNAcentral.